Molecule: ribosomal RNA, 516 nt
Filed under: uncultured bacterium
Lineage: Bacteria
Description: bacterial SSU rRNA
Rfam family: Bacterial small subunit ribosomal RNA
Source: RNAcentral
GAGUUUGAUCCUGGCUCAGGACGAACGCUGGCGGCGUGCUUAACACAUGCAAGUCGAACGGUGACAUCAGAGCUUGCUCUGGUUGAUCAGUGGCGAACGGGUGAGUAACACGUGAGUAACCUGCCCUUGACUCUGGGAUAACUCCGGGAAACCGGGGCUAAUACCGGAUACGAGACGCGAUCGCAUGGUCGGCGUCUGGAAAGUUUUUCGGUCAAGGAUGGACUCGCGGCCUAUCAGCUUGUUGGUGAGGUAAUGGCUCACCAAGGCGUCGACGGGUAGCCGGCCUGAGAGGGCGACCGGCCACACUGGGACUGAGACACGGCCCAGACUCCUACGGGAGGCAGCAGUGGGGAAUAUUGCACAAUGGGCGAAAGCCUGAUGCAGCGACGCCGCGUGAGGGAUGAAGGCCUUCGGGUUGUAAACCUCUUUCAGUAGGGAAAAAGCGGUUGGGUUCUCCUAGUCGUGACGGUACCUGCAGAAGAAGCGCCGGCUAACUACGUGCCAGCAGCCGCGGUA